Molecule: ribosomal RNA, 518 nt
Filed under: uncultured bacterium
Lineage: Bacteria
Description: bacterial SSU rRNA
Rfam family: Bacterial small subunit ribosomal RNA
Source: RNAcentral
AGAGUUUGAUCCUGGCUCAGGAUGAACGCUAGCGGCAGGCCUAAUACAUGCAAGUCGAGGGGCAGCACAGGUAGCGAUACCGGGUGGCGACCGGCAAACGGGUGCGUAACACGUACACAACCAACCCCCGUCCGGGGGACAGGCCGCCGAAAGGCGGAUUAACCCCCCAUGGAACGCGUGUCCCGCAUGGGAUGCGCGUCAAACCCCGGGGACGGGGACGGGUGUGCGGACGAUUAGCUAGUUGGCGGGGCAACGGCCCACCAAGGCGACGAUCGUUAGCUGAUGUGAGAGCAUGGUCAGCCACACGGGCACUGAGACACGGGCCCGACUCCUACGGGAGGCAGCAGUAAGGAAUAUUGGUCAAUGGGCGCAGGCCUGAACCAGCCAUGCCGCGUGGAGGACGAAGGCCCUCCGGGUCGUAAACUCCUUUUACCCGGGACGAAAAAAGCCCUUUUGAGGGCACUUGACGGUCCGGGGGAAUAAGCACCGGCUAACUCCGUGCCAGCAGCCGCGGUAAU